Molecule: RNase P RNA, 364 nt
Filed under: Actinomyces sp.
Lineage: Bacteria; Bacillati; Actinomycetota; Actinomycetes; Actinomycetales; Actinomycetaceae
Also listed under: 1 other name
Description: RNase P RNA component class A
Rfam family: Bacterial RNase P class A
About the family: Ribonuclease P (RNase P) is a ubiquitous endoribonuclease, found in archaea, bacteria and eukarya as well as chloroplasts and mitochondria.
Source: RNAcentral
UCUGCCGGCUGGGCGGCCGCGCGCGGAAACGCUCGAGGAACGUCCGGGCUCCACAGGGCAGGGUGAUGGCUAACAGCCACCCGGGGUAACCCGCGGGACAGUGCCACAGAAAAUAAACCACCGGCGCGCAUGCGUCGGUAAGGGUGAAAAGGUGAGGUAAGAGCUCACCAGCGGCGCGGGUGACCGCGUCGGCUAGGUAAACCCCACCCGGAGCAAGACCGAGCAGCAGGCAGGGCGGCCCGUCCGACGCCUGCGGGUAGGUUGCUGGAGGCCGUCGGUAACGGCGGUCCUAGAUAGAUGGUCGCCACCGCACGACCGGUAACGGCGUGCGUGACAGAACCCGGCGUAUAGGCCGACAGAUGCC